AAUAGAUACCCGGGUAGUCCACGCCGUAAACGAUGAGUGCUAAGUGUUAGAGGGUUUCCGCCCUUUAGUGCUGCAGCUAACGCAUUAAGCACUCCGCCUGGGGAGUACGGUCGCAAGACUGAAACUCAAAGGAAUUGACGGGGGCCCGCACAAGCGGUGGAGCAUGUGGUUUAAUUCGAAGCAACGCGAAGAACCUUACCAGGUCUUGACAUCCUCUGACAACUCUAGAGAUAGAGCGUUCCCCUUCGGGGGACAGAGUGACAGGUGGUGCAUGGUUGUCGUCAGCUCGUGUCGUGAGAUGUUGGGUUAAGUCCCGCAACGAGCGCAACCCUUGAUCUUAGUUGCCAGCAUUCAGUUGGGCACUCUAAGGUGACUGCCGGUGACAAACCGGAGGAAGGUGGGGAUGACGUCAAAUCAUCAUGCCCCUUAUGACCUGGGCUACACACGUGCUACAAUGGAUGGUACAAAGGGCUGCAAGACCGCGAGGUCAAGCCAAUCCCAUAAACCAUUCUCAGUUCGGAUUGGU
RNAcentral lists this ribosomal RNA (526 nucleotides) under uncultured bacterium. RNAcentral describes it as "bacterial SSU rRNA". It matches the Rfam family "Bacterial small subunit ribosomal RNA", at positions 777 to 1302 of the family's 1533-position model. The record is from RNAcentral.